UUUAUAAAGAGUUUGAUCCUAGCUCAGGACGAACGCUGGCGGCGCGCCUAACACAUGCAAGUCGAACGGAGCUGAGAGGAGCUUGCUUUUCUUAGCUUAGUGGCGAACGGGUGAGUAACGCGUGAGUAACCUGCCCUGGAGUGGGGGACAACAGUUGGAAACGACUGCUAAUACCGCAUAAGCCCACGAUCCGGCAUCGGAUUGAGGGAAAAGGAUUUAUUCGCUUCAGGAUGGACUCGCGUCCAAUUAGCUAGUUGGUGAGGUAACGGCCCACCAAGGCGACGAUUGGUAGCCGGACUGAGAGGUUGAACGGCCACAUUGGGACUGAGACACGGCCCAGACUCCUACGGGAGGCAGCAGUGGGGGA
This 367-nucleotide ribosomal RNA is filed under the name Gemmiger sp. RNAcentral's name for it is "bacterial SSU rRNA". It matches the Rfam family "Bacterial small subunit ribosomal RNA", at positions 1 to 361 of the family's 1533-position model. Lineage: Bacteria; Bacillati; Bacillota; Clostridia; Eubacteriales; Oscillospiraceae. The record is from RNAcentral.